GCGGGGAAACUCACCAGAUCCAGACACAAGUAGGAUUGACAGAUUGAGAGCUCUUUCUUGAUUUUGUGGGUGGUGGUGCAUGGCCGUUCUUAGUUGGUGGAGUGAUUUGUCUGCUUAAUUGCGAUAACGAACGAGACCUUAACCUGCUAAAUAGCCAGGCCCGCUUUGGCGGGUCGCCGGCUUCUUAGAGGGACUAUCGGCUCAAGCCGAUGGAAGUUUGAG
Molecule: ribosomal RNA, 222 nt
Filed under: uncultured marine eukaryote
Lineage: Eukaryota
Description: partial 18S ribosomal RNA
Rfam family: Eukaryotic small subunit ribosomal RNA
Source: RNAcentral